Molecule: long non-coding RNA, 449 nt
Organism: Amyelois transitella
Lineage: Eukaryota; Metazoa; Arthropoda; Insecta; Lepidoptera; Pyralidae
Exons: 3
Source: RefSeq, a predicted model, not a curated record
UAAGCAAAUAUUAAAAAAACAAAAAUAAGAUCUUUCAGAAAUAAAUGAAGUUCAAAACAAAAACAAUUUAUAUCAAUGCAUACAUUCCUUUAUCUGUCGAACUGUGCUGUCGAAGAAUGUAGAAGGGAAAUGAACAAACGUCCAUCGAGUGUUCGGCGGCGGCGGGAUCAGCGGCGCGGCUCCUGGCGAGGCGCGCGAGCGCGGCGGCCGCCAGCGCGCGCGUGCACGCGCCCGCGCCGCCCGCGCUGCGCAUGCGCGACCACCGCGCUUGCGCCGAUAUAGCGUUCUCUUCGAUACCACUCUUCUCUAACGCUAGUGCUGUUUAGCAAUAAGAUCGGCGGGAUCGAGAUGCGCGGCGGCCGCCAACUGCUGCGCGGCGAGCGCCCACGCGCCCUCCCCGCCCGCCUCGCGCGCCGCCGCCAGCGCCGCGCACACGCGCGCCGCGCACC